RNAcentral lists this ribosomal RNA (273 nucleotides) under uncultured bacterium. Its description in RNAcentral is "partial 16S ribosomal RNA". It matches the Rfam family "Bacterial small subunit ribosomal RNA", at positions 524 to 796 of the family's 1533-position model. The record is from RNAcentral.
UACGUAGGGACCAAGCGUUGUUCGGAUUUACUGGGCGUAAAGGGUGCGUAGGCGGCGUGUCAAGUCAGUUGUGAAAUCUUAAGGCUUAACCUUAAGCGGUCAACUGAUACUGUCAUGCUAGAGUGCAGAAGGGGCAAUCGGAAUUCUUGGUGUAGCGGUGAAAUGCGUAGAUAUCAAGAGGAACACCUGAGGUGAAGACGGGUUGCUGGGCUGACACUGACGCUGAGGCACGAAAGCUAGGGUAGCAAACGGGAUUAGAAACCCCCGUAGUCC